ACAAAGCCUCCACUACUCCACCUUUCCAGUUUUCAGAAAUGGAUUUUGAGCCACUUGGAUUCUUCAUUCCCCUGGUACCAUGUAGCCUCUUCACUUGGCCGUUUUCUGUCCUGCCAGAGAUACACUCCCCUUGCUCAGAGAAUUUUAACUAAAUCAACAGUAGCAUUGUAUCUGGAAAGGACGCUUGUACUAGGUGACUUCUGAGCUCUUCUAGCUUCAAAUUUAUGAUCCUAUGAUAUUGCCCUGCUGAUUUACACUGCAAGACUCCAGAGGAAUGAAGAGGAGCUGGCUGGAAGGAUGCUCCUAGGACUAUGGACUAUAUGGGCUAUGGUCCCUUGUUUUGGAAGCAGGAGAGUUACUAUAGCCCACAAGUUUUUGGAUAUCUCCAGGAGAUUCAUAAAAUCUGAGAGUUGGAAGAGAUCUUGUGGCCAUCUAAUCAAACUCAUACAUGAAAAGAACUCCCACUAAAAUAUACAAAUGGUUGUCCAAUUUGCAUUUGAAGAACAUCAAGAAGAUGGAACUCCAGACACAUUACAUAUGUGUGUGUAUUUGUAUAUACUUAUAUAUGCACAUCCUGUCUCCUCUGAUAGAAUGUAAGCUCCUUGAGGGCAGACACUUUUCAUUUUUGUCUUUAUAUCCUCAGUGCCUUGUAUUGUCCCUAGCUCUUUGUAGGUGAUUAA
Monodelphis domestica (gray short-tailed opossum) is the source of this 680-nucleotide long non-coding RNA. RefSeq lists it as uncharacterized. The record is from RefSeq and is a predicted model, not a curated record. NCBI's taxonomy places the organism in Eukaryota, Metazoa, Chordata, Mammalia, Didelphimorphia, Didelphidae.